RNAcentral lists this long non-coding RNA (563 nucleotides) under Homo sapiens (human). RNAcentral describes it as "non-protein coding lnc-BRD1-29:7". Lineage: Eukaryota; Metazoa; Chordata; Mammalia; Primates; Hominidae. The record is from RNAcentral.
CUGGGCCCCCCACGGGGAGGACGGCCGGGCCAGGUGAAGUUCGCGCACUUGGGCCUUCCGCGCCCCCAUCCACCGCAGCCAGGGCCUGGAAGGCUGGGGAGGGGGCGGGGGCGGCAGACGCCUCCUAAGGUGGGUUCUGGGACUUGGAUCCGGAGUUUAUUCCAAGGAGAGGGUGCUCUGGGCCUGUUCCCUAGGUGUGCCCUGUUACCCAAAAUCGGGCUUGUGCAGUGGGGUCCCUGAGUCCACUGGGAGCACAGCCUCAGACCCCAGCAGAGUCACCCUUCAUCGGAAGCCCACCACCCUGAGGGCUCCUCCUCCACCUGGGGCGGCACUGCCAGGCACAGGCACGCACUUUCCCUCAGUCCUCUGCCCCACGAUCACUCUACUCGGGCACCUCUGCCACUGCCUGGUCCUUGCUGAGCCAUCUCCUGGUUCAUCUCCCUGGAGUCCCUGCAGGACCGGCUCUCAGUGGCGUCUCCGGGCUCCCAGUCCCAGGACUGGUCCUAUCCAGCCCAGGAGAUACGCUCCCCAGUCCAGGAUGUCCAGAUGGCCCUGCUGCCUGG